This 70-nucleotide transfer RNA is filed under the name Sphaerodactylus townsendi. Its description in RNAcentral is "tRNA-Ala". The stretch from base 6 to 62 matches the Rfam family "tRNA", at positions 8 to 63 of the family's 71-position model. From Rfam's summary of the family: Transfer RNA (tRNA) molecules are approximately 80 nucleotides in length. Their secondary structure includes four short double-helical elements and three loops (D, anti-codon, and T loops). Further hydrogen bonds mediate the characteristic L-shaped molecular structure. tRNAs have two regions of fundamental functional importance: the anti-codon, which is responsible for specific mRNA codon recognition, and the 3' end, to which the tRNAs corresponding amino acid is attached (by aminoacyl-tRNA synthetases). tRNAs cope with the degeneracy of the genetic code in two manners: having more than one tRNA (with a specific anti-codon) for a particular amino acid; and 'wobble' base-pairing, i.e. permitting non-standard base-pairing at the 3rd anti-codon position. The record is from RNAcentral. Lineage: Eukaryota; Metazoa; Chordata; Lepidosauria; Squamata; Sphaerodactylidae.
ACCCCUGGCUUAGUGAUAAAGCAUCUGCUUGGCAUACACAGAGUCCCAGGUUCAAUCCCUGGAAUCUCCA